AUCGAACGCUGGCGGCAGGCCUAACACAUGCAAGUCGAGCGGAUGACGGGAGCUUGCUCCUUGAUUCAGCGGCGGACGGGUGAGUAAUGCCUAGGAAUCUGCCUGGUAGUGGGGGACAACGUUUCGAAAGGAACGCUAAUACCGCAUACGUCCUACGGGAGAAAGCAGGGGACCUUCGGGCCUUGCGCUAUCAGAUGAGCCUAGGUCGGAUUAGCUAGUUGGUGGGGUAAUGGCUCACCAAGGCGACGAUCCGUAACUGGUCUGAGAGGAUGAUCAGUCACACUGGAACUGAGACACGGUCCCGACUCCUACGGGAGGCAGCAGUGGGGAAUAUUGGACAAUGGGCGAAAGCCUGAUCCCGCCAUGCCGCGUGUGUGAAGAAGGUCUUCGGAUUGUAAAGCACUUUAAGUUGGGAGGAAGGGCAGUAAGCUAAUACCUUGCUGUUUUGACGUUACCGACAGAAUAAGCACCGGCUAACUCUGUGCCAGCCGCCGCCGUAA
This 500-nucleotide ribosomal RNA is filed under the name uncultured bacterium. Its description in RNAcentral is "partial 16S ribosomal RNA". It matches the Rfam family "Bacterial small subunit ribosomal RNA", at positions 30 to 523 of the family's 1533-position model. The record is from RNAcentral.